Molecule: long non-coding RNA, 432 nt
Organism: Notothenia coriiceps (black rockcod)
Lineage: Eukaryota; Metazoa; Chordata; Actinopteri; Perciformes; Nototheniidae
Exons: 3
Source: RefSeq, a predicted model, not a curated record
AUGACUCUUUGUUCCAGACUCCCAGGCCUGCACCGCGUACGACGUCGUCAUCAACCAGGAAUUCUUCCAGAAGUGCCAGACUGGAAGGUGCUGAAGAACAGGAAGUUUUUGGGUUCUCUCGUCGAUCAGAACAUCCGGACGAAGAGUCGACCGGUGAUCCAGGAGCUGCAGCCAGAGUUCAGCUCCACUGCUGCAGCUAAAAGGUAACCCUCCUCCUGACUCCAGAACACAGCGGUGCAGGGAUGUCAAAUGGGAGUUUUCCGUAUUGGAUUAUCAUUGCAGAAAAUACUCUCACAGAUUUUCAGUUCUUCUGUUAAUGAAGAGCAUUAGAGCCACACAUUUGUUUUUAAAACAUAAUUUGUGUGUAUGAGGCUCACGAGCAGAGAAAGUAGGGGAUUACUUUAGUUCAAUCAGGAGAGACGGUUUUGAUGU